AGCCUGCCCACUGAUUGAAAUUUAAAGGGCCGCGGUAUACUGACCGUGCGAAGGUAGCAUAAUCAUUAGUCUUUUAAUUGAAGGCUUGUAUGAAUGGUUGGACAAAAAGUAAGCUGUCUCAGUUAUAAUAAUUGAAUUUAACUUUUAAGUGAAAAGGCUUAAAUGGAUUAAGGGGACGAUAAGACCCUAUAAAGCUUGACAAUAAGUUAAUUAUAUUAUAAAUUGUUAGUAUAACUUGAUUUUAAUUGACGUUUGUUACGUUGGGGCGACGAGAAUAUAAUGAGUAACUGUUCUUAAAUGUUUAUUGACAAAUAUAAUUGGUAUUUGAUUGAUCCUUUAUUAAAGAUUAAAAGAUUAAGUUACUUUAGGGAUAACAGCGUAAUCUUCUUUGAGAGUUCAUAUUGACAAGAAGGUUUGCGACCUCGAUGUUGAAUUAAGGUAUCCUUAUGAUGUAGCAGUUAUAAAGG
RNAcentral lists this ribosomal RNA (467 nucleotides) under Penaeus semisulcatus. RNAcentral's name for it is "partial 16S ribosomal RNA". It matches the Rfam family "Bacterial large subunit ribosomal RNA", at positions 1856 to 2570 of the family's 2925-position model. The record is from RNAcentral. Lineage: Eukaryota; Metazoa; Arthropoda; Malacostraca; Decapoda; Penaeidae.